This 352-nucleotide ribosomal RNA is filed under the name uncultured bacterium. RNAcentral describes it as "bacterial SSU rRNA". It matches the Rfam family "Bacterial small subunit ribosomal RNA", at positions 527 to 881 of the family's 1533-position model. The record is from RNAcentral.
GGAGGAUCCGAGCGUUAUCCGGAUUUAUUGGGUUUAAAGGGAGCGUAGGCCGGAGAUUAAGCGUGUUGUGAAAUGUAGAUGCUCAACAUCUGAACUGCAGCGCGAACUGGUUUCCUUGAGUACGCACAAAGUGGGCGGAAUUCGUGGUGUAGCGGUGAAAUGCUUAGAUAUCACGAAGAACCCCGAUUGCGAAGGCAGCUUGCUAAACUGUAACUGACGUUCAUGCUCGAAAGUGUGGGUAUCAAACAGGAUUAGAUACCCUGGUAGUCCACACGGUAAACGAUGGAUACUCGCUGUUGGCGAUAUACUGUCAGCGGCCAAGCGAAAGCAUUAAGUAUCCCACCUGGGGAGU